Molecule: long non-coding RNA, 160 nt
Organism: Phyllostomus discolor (pale spear-nosed bat)
Lineage: Eukaryota; Metazoa; Chordata; Mammalia; Chiroptera; Phyllostomidae
Exons: 2
Source: RefSeq, a predicted model, not a curated record
CUGUGAAUCAAAAGGUCACCGGUUCGAUUCCCAGUCAGGGCAUAUGCCUAGGUUGCAGGCCAGGUCCCAAGUGGGGCCACGUAAGAGGAAACCACACGUUGCUAUUUCUGUCUCUCUCUUCCUCCCUUCCCCUCUCUAAAAAUAAAUAAAUAAAAUCUUU